UGUAUGUGAGUUUUAUGUAUAUUUGCUUGUGUAAAAGGUUUUCCUUCUGUGAGAUCUGGUUCAGUAAAAGUUUAUUGCUCAGAAUCUUCCUCCUGCCUGACAAGGCAAGGCUUCUGGGCAAGAGAAAAGAAAGCCCUAGCAGUGAAUUCUUUACUUAGUCCUCUGCUGUUUUUGUUUUUUUGUUUGUUUUUUUGUUUUGGUUUUUCGAGACAGGGUUUCUCUGUUUAGCCCUGGCUGUCCUGGAACUCCCUUUGUAGACCAGGCUGGCCUCGAACUUAGAAAUCCACCUGCCUCUGCCUCUGCCUCUGCCUCUGCCUCUGCCUCUGCCUCUGCCUCUGCCUCUGCCUCUGCCUCUGCCUCUGCCUCUGCCUCUGCCUCCCGAGUGCUGGGAUUAAAGGCGUGCGCUACCACGCCUGACUCCUCUGCUGUUUUACCACAAGUGUUAAGGCCCAGAGGCCUGCAACUUCCGGCUUCAGAGUAGCUUAGACUCAAGACAGGUAAACAUUACUAUAGAAAGCAGCCUAAUCUUUCCCAAGACCAAGCCCUGCUCCUGCCCAUGCUUUUCCCCUCAGCUGCUUCAGAGAGGACCCAGCCUGGUGCUAAGUUCCUGACAAUUAGUAUUGAUAAUUAUUAAUGGGCAGUGUUUAUUGAUUCCUGAUAUUUUGCUGUUAUGGUAUGAGUGUUUUGCCCACUCUUUUGAUUUACUGGUCUGUGAUUGAUUGAUUGAUUGAUUGAUUGAGUCCUCUUGGGUGUAGUUAACCUCUUCAGACUGAAUGUUUCUUACUAGUGCCUUCUGUAAAGCUGGAUUGGAAAUUGUUGAAAGUUAGUUUUACUGUAGAAUAUUUGUCUUUUAUGUCUAUUGUGAUUGAUAGCUUUGCUGCGCAUAGUUGUCUGGGAUGGUAUCUGUGGUCUUUUUUAAUAUGUAGAACAUCUGUCCAGGCCCUUCUGGCUUUUAGAGUCUUCACUGAUAAGUGAGGGGUUAUUGUAAGAGGUCUCUCUUUCUAUGCUAUUUGGUCUCUUUCCUUUGAAAAUUUAAUAUUCAUAUUUUCUGUACAUUUAAUGUUUUGAUUAUUGCAUGUCACAAGGAGUUUGUUUUCUGAUCCUAAUUUGUAUUCUGUAUGCUUCUUGUAAUUUGAUAGGCACCUCCUUUAAAUUGGAUUUCAUUAAAUUAUGUACUUUUUUGGCUCUGUAUUUCUCCCAUUCCAGAGACAGCAACAUCUUUUCACACAUUGCCAGCCUGGUCCCUGAGACACAAUGGUGAAGGUUUAGAGUGAAUGGAUUUGACCAUAUUGAAUGCCUUCAACUCUGGCAAAGUGGAUAUUGUUGCCGUCAAUGAUCUCUUCAUUGACUGCAACUGCAAGGUUGACAUGUUUUAGUAUGACCGUACCCACAGUAAGUCCAACAGCCCAGUUGAGGUUGAGAAUGGAAAACUUGUCAAUGGGAAGGCCAUCUCCAUCUUCCAGGAGUAAGAUUAUACCAACAUCAAAUGGGGUAAUGUUGAUGCCAAGUAGGUUUUGGAGUCUACUGGUAUCUUCAACACCAUGGAAAAAAACAGAGGUCAUUUGAAGAGCUGAGCCAAAGAGUCAUCAUCUCUGCCCCUUCUGCUGAUGCCCCCAUGUUUGUGAUGAGCACGAACCGUAGAUUUAUGACUACUAACUCAUGAUUGUCAGCAAUGCCUCCUGCACCACUGUACCACCAACUCCUUUUGUCCCCGAUUAAUGUUACCCAUGACAACUUUGUAUCAGGGAGGGAUGCAUGGCCAUGAUCCCUGACAUUUCUGUCACCCAGAAUACUAUGGAUGGCUUCUCUGGAAAGCUGUGGCAUAAUACCUGUCAGACUGCCCUGAACAUCAUCUCUGCACCCAUUGGUGCUGUCAAGGCUAUGGAUAAUGUCAUUCCAGAGCUGAACUGGAAGGUCACUGGCAUGGCCUUCCGUGGGCUUACCCCCAAUUUGUUUAUUGUGGAUCUUACAUGCUUCCUGAAGAAAGUUGUAAAAUGAUGCCAUGUAAAAUGAUGUCAAGAAGGUUAGGUAAGGUGGCAUCAGAGAGCCCAUUAAAUGGCAUUGUGGGCCACACUUAGGACCAGGUUGUCUCCUGUGACUUUAACACUGAUGCUACUCUCCUACCAUUGAUUCUGGGGCUGGCAUUGCUCUCGGAGAUGACUUUGUAAAAACUCAUUUUCUGGUUUGAGAAUGAAUAUGAGUACAGCAACAGGGUGGUGGAGCUCACAGCCUACAUGGUCUCCCCACUGUAAGAAGCCCUGGACCACCCAUCCCAGCAAGAACACAAGAGAGAGACAGGCUGGUGGCUGCUGAGGAGGCCCUGUCCCACCCCUGAGCACCUCACUUCACCCCAGACUCCCAAAUGAGGCAGAGUGGGAUGCUUCUUCUCUUGAAUGCUAUCAAUAAAGUUCACAGAAACCCUAAAAAAAAAUUGUUUUCUGUGCCUUUGACCUGGAAUCUCCUCCUUCCUCUAUAACCACUACUCAUGGUUUGGUCUUUCACAGUAUCCCAGAUUUUCUGUGCCUAGAGUUUUUUGUUGUUGUUUUUUGUUUUGACAUUUUCUUUGACUAUGCUAUUUCUUCUACCUUGUCUUCAAGACCUGAAAUUCUCUCUUCCAUGCUG
Molecule: long non-coding RNA, 2622 nt
Filed under: Mus musculus (house mouse)
Lineage: Eukaryota; Metazoa; Chordata; Mammalia; Rodentia; Muridae
Description: long non-coding RNA chr1:106088772-106091394
Source: RNAcentral